This 274-nucleotide ribosomal RNA is filed under the name uncultured bacterium. Its description in RNAcentral is "partial 16S ribosomal RNA". It matches the Rfam family "Bacterial small subunit ribosomal RNA", at positions 523 to 796 of the family's 1533-position model. The record is from RNAcentral.
AAACGGAGGGUGCAGGCGUUAUUCGGAAUCACUGGGCGUAAAGGACGCGUAGGCGGGUUGGCAAGUCAGAUGUGAAAUCCUACAGCUUAACUGUAGAACUGCAUUUGAAACUGCUAACCUAGAGUAUGGGAGGGGGAGAUGGAAUUAGUGGUGUAGGGGUAAAAUCCGUAGAUAUCACUAGGAAUACCGAAAGCGAAGGCGAUCUCCUGGAACAUAACUGACGCUAAGGCGUGAAAGCGUGGGGAGCAAACAGGAUUAGAAACCCCUGUAGUCC